AGUUUGAUCCUGGCUCAGGAUGAAUGCUGGCGGCGUGCCUAAUACAUGCAAGUCGAGCGGUAACGGCCCGUUCGGGGUACACGAGCGGCGGACGGCUGAGUAACGCGGUGGGAACAUGACCCCAAAGUGAGGGAUAACGCACCGAAAGGUGUGCUAAUACCGCAUAUGGUCUUCGGAUUAAAGGAUUUAUCCGCUUUGGGAGUGGCCCGCGUACGAUUAGAUUGUUGGUGAGGUAACGGCUCACCAAGUCGACGAUCGUUAACUGGUCUGAGAGGAUGAUCAGUCAGACUGGAACUGAGACACGGUCCAGACUCCUACGGGAGGCAGCAGUAAGGAAUCUUCCACAAUGGGCGAAAGCCUGAUGGAGCAACGCCGCGUGCAGGAUGAAGGCCCUCGGGUCGUAAACUGCUUUUAUGAGUGAAGAAUAUGACGGUAACUCAUGAAUAAGCCACCGGCUAACUACGUG
This 466-nucleotide ribosomal RNA is filed under the name uncultured bacterium. RNAcentral describes it as "bacterial SSU rRNA". It matches the Rfam family "Bacterial small subunit ribosomal RNA", at positions 10 to 507 of the family's 1533-position model. The record is from RNAcentral.